GAGUUUGAUCAUGGCUCAGAUUGAACGCUGGCGGCAGGCUUAACACAUGCAAGUCGAGCGGAGAUGAGGUGCUUGCACCUUAUCUUAGCGGCGGACGGGUGAGUAAUGCUUAGGAAUCUGCCAUUUAGUGGGGGACAACAUUCCGAAAGGAAUGCUAAUACCGCAUACGUCCUACGGGAGAAAGCAGGGGAUCUUCGGACCUUGCGCUAAAUGAUGAGCCUAAGUCGGAUUAGCUAGUUGGUGGGGUAAAGGCCUACCAAGGCGACGAUCUGUAGCGGGUCUGAGAGGAUGAUCCGCCACACUGGGACUGAGACACGGCCCAGACUCCUACGGGAGGCAGCAGUGGGGAAUAUUGGACAAUGGGCGGAAGCCUGAUCCAGCCAUGCCGCGUGUGUGAAGAAGGCCUUUUGGUUGUAAAGCACUUUAAGCGAGGAGGAGGCUACCUAGAUUAAUACUCUGGGAUAGUGGACGUUACUCGCAGAAUAAGCACCGGCUAACUCUGUGCCAGCAGCCGCGGUAAUACAGAGGGUGCGAGCGUUAAUCGGAUUUACUGGGCGUAAAGCGUGCGUAGGCGGCUGAUUAAGUCGGAUGUGAAAUCCCUGAGCUUAACUUAGGAAUUGCAUUCGAUACUGGUCAGCUAGAGUAUGGGAGAGGAUGGUAGAAUUCCAGGUGUAGCGGUGAAAUGCGUAGAGAUCUGGAGGAAUACCGAUGGCGAAGGCAGCCAUCUGCCUAAUACGACGCU
This 742-nucleotide ribosomal RNA is filed under the name Acinetobacter sp. Its description in RNAcentral is "bacterial SSU rRNA". It matches the Rfam family "Bacterial small subunit ribosomal RNA", at positions 9 to 747 of the family's 1533-position model. The record is from RNAcentral. Lineage: Bacteria; Pseudomonadati; Pseudomonadota; Gammaproteobacteria; Moraxellales; Moraxellaceae.